Molecule: long non-coding RNA, 1072 nt
Filed under: Linum usitatissimum (flax)
Lineage: Eukaryota; Viridiplantae; Streptophyta; Magnoliopsida; Malpighiales; Linaceae
Description: long non-coding RNA (LUSI_LNC007523)
Source: RNAcentral
UUGCAAUCCAUCGUUGACCUACUCUCAUCCACCUUCCGCCCGGCUCUCUCCGCCUCCAUCGCACCUACCGCCACCGUCAAGAGAAGCAUGCAGAGAGGGAGCUGGAUCUCAACCGGAUCUCAUCCUCCUCCUCUCUUUUUGGAGCUCUUUCAACAAGUAACCCUGAGUUUUUCAAUUGGUAACCCUGAGUUCGUCAUCUUCAAGAUCGGAGGCAAAUUUUAUUGACAAUAGUGAGGAAGUCGAUUGUGCGGGAGCUGCGUCGGAGGUAGCAUAUGUACUGUUGAGGAGGUAGCCAUAUUGAUAACACUUCAUAUUGCAUGAGAUUCAAUCUCAACUUAACAUAUUUUCGACUUAGUUCGAUCGAUUCUUGACUUUUGAGAUGUGAUUGGUGGAUGAAAAUAAGGGUUUUGUGUUGUGUUCUCUCAAACGGAUUUUUUUUGAACUUGUUUUCUCAUAUGUUGUUGAUAUUUCGGGUAUCCGCUAGAUAGAGGGCAUCGAUACGAAACCAACAAGACCAAUCAAAUGUCAAAUGAACGUCGGAUGAGCGACUUAUAAACGAAAGAAGAAAACCGCCCUGUCUGAAAACAAGGCCACAUGGUGUGUGGAGGCCGUGUGAUCCCACUCUUCGUGUGGAUGGUCUGGCAGAGGUAUAAAACCCCAAAUGUGAAGAGAGAGGCAACAUAUCUUCCAAUUCCAUCCAUUGCAAUCCUUAGUCCGAAAUUUCACGCUCUCCCACUCACCAUUGGAAGCUAUGAAGAGGAUUUGGAGCAUUUGAAAAGCAAGGACUGAAGAUUAAGAAUAUUAGAGCUUUGAGUGAAGAUUAGUACAUUCAUCACCUUUUUCAUAUUUAGAGAAUGAUGGUAAUUGUAUCUCUUUCUCCUGUUAUAGUUUCAUGAUGAUUGGUUAGGUUUUUUGUGUUGUUAGAUUAGGGUGUAUAUGGAUGCUAGGAUGAUCCCUUCAUAAUGGGGGGUUGGACAUAUUGGAUACUUGUUAUGAUAGUGAUGAUACUUGGAUUAUGGUGUGUUCAACCAAUUUGUGCUAUGACUUGAAUUAGGUCAAAUCAAUACUCUUA